Molecule: transfer RNA, 72 nt
Filed under: Johnsonella sp.
Lineage: Bacteria; Bacillati; Bacillota; Clostridia; Lachnospirales; Lachnospiraceae
Description: tRNA-Gln
Rfam family: tRNA
About the family: Transfer RNA (tRNA) molecules are approximately 80 nucleotides in length. Their secondary structure includes four short double-helical elements and three loops (D, anti-codon, and T loops).
Source: RNAcentral
UGGGCUAUCGCCAAACGGUAAGGCAGUGGACUCUGACUCCACCAUCUCUAGGUUCGAAUCCUAGUAGCCCAA